This is a long non-coding RNA of Nematostella vectensis (starlet sea anemone), 2256 nucleotides long. RefSeq lists it as uncharacterized. The transcript has 2 exons. Lineage: Eukaryota; Metazoa; Cnidaria; Anthozoa; Actiniaria; Edwardsiidae. The record is from RefSeq and is a predicted model, not a curated record.
UUAUUUAUGACUGUAGGUUCAGUUUCUGGGAGAGUAUCUGUACUUUUCUUGUCAUCGUCAGAACCAUCAUCAUCAGAUCCAUCAUUAUCAGAUCCUUCAUCAUCUGGUUCCUCAUCAUCUUGACUGCCCUUCAAUCAAAGGGCCAAUUUUACAUUCAACUAUACAGAAGUGGCCCAAGGCAAGUGUAUGAGCCCAGUGGGAAUAGAUGAUAAUGAAUGCAAAUAAACAAUUAGAUUGGAGAUUUCCUACCAUGGAAGGCAUUUUAGGUAGCUUUGCUUGGGAGCAUUGUAGUGAGAAUUCCUCAUCUGAAGAGCCAGCCUUGAAGAACACAAAAACAAAUUUAAUUGCAAGUUGCUUCAAAGAUAACCAUCACAAUUUAGGUACUGUAUUGUAUUUUAGUUCUUCACAGUAGACAAAGUAGUAAAUAAAUAAUCAAAUAAAAAAUAAUAAUAAUUAUCAAACUAUGAAGCAUGUUGAACAGUGUACAUACCCUAGAAGAACUUGGUGUUCUAGGAGACCAGGAAUCUGGAGGGCUUGUUCUCUGGAGAAAAUAAAAUCACUCAUAUUCAUACCUUUCCAAAAAAUCAGAACCAAAAGGAUUCCUUUUAAAUAGCAAGGUUUAUCCAUAAACUGGCAAGAAAGUCAGAAAGAAAAAUAAUAAUUCUGAUUAUCAUGCAGUUCACAACAUUCCUCAGUGCAGUGACAUGCUUUUAUUAGGUCUUACCAUUCAAAGCAACCUAAAGUUCAGCUUGCACGUCAAAAGCAAAUUAAUUAAAGCCAACAAAUGUCUCCAUAUUCUUAGGACCCUUAGGAAAGAACAGUAUAGUCAACUAGAAAUAGACCAUUUAUUCUUCUCUCUGGUGUUGCCAUGUAUCACUUACGGCUUAUCCGUUUACGGGGCCUGCGACUCAGAUCUAACGACUAUUCAGACAUUCUUAGAUAGGUGUCAUAAACGUCGGUUCGUAUCAACACCUGUUAGCAUAGAAAAAUACUCGCCAAGCAAGACUGUAAGCUGUAUGAAAAAGCUGCAGCCAUUCCGAACCACCCUUUACGUUGCUACUUACCCGCUAUUAAAGAAACCAAAUACAAUCUUCGUGGUACGCGCUAUAUUACACCAAAUGUAAAAACUGAACGCUUUAAGAACACUUAUAUCAACAGAAUUGCUUUCAAAUAUCUUAUGUAACUUAGUAGCUAGUUUUUAAUUUUUCAGCAUUAUUUGUAACAUAGGAGAUGUAUUUUUAUCCUUUGAUAAUAAAGAUUAUUAUUAUUAUUAAUACAUUUGCACCAUACUUACUUUUCUUUCACGCCGCUGUUCACUGAAAAAAUCCUUAGUGUGUUGCAUAAUGCCAUCCACUGUGAAAUUUAUUUCAGGCACAGAACACUGGUCUUCAAUUUCUUUAGCAAACUUUUCCAGUUGUGUUCUCAUCAUGGGAGUGUUGAACUUCGGGAGUUGCCCACCCCACUUUUCCAUGGCAAGUGCGCCAAUCUUCUUGCGCCUAAACAUCAAUCAAAUUAAUAAGGCUAAAUGUGUUGCAUAAAUGAAGUUUACUAAACAAUGCCAGAAAAAGGUGUUGCAUGAUAAAAUAAUGUAAAAUAAAUGCGCCACAAUAUGAAUUGAACAUCAGCAUUUUGAAAAAAUGUAUAAAUCAAUUUACUUCAAAGGACAUUCAUCUAUAUCCAAUAUCAAAACACACUCACUUAGACAGGUACAGUCUUUGUAUUUCAGGAUCGUAUGUUGACAACUCUGCCAUUGUUGGUUUGCACUUGGGCAAGGCUGAUGAAGAUUUCUUUGGCAAUUGGAACGACUCCUCAAAAAUCCUUUUGAAUUUUAGGGCCUUUCCAUAGGUUAAGCCAACCUUUGAGUAAAUUGGCGCAUCAGCAUCUUUAGAUAGCAAGUCUACUAUUGCUUCUGGGCAUGUAAUAUCUUCAUCUGCAGCCAAACAGAAGAAGAAUGGAUUCAAUAUUUGCAUGCAAAAGAUACAUUUGAAAAAAGUUUUAUUGAUCUAUUCUGUUGUUUUGUCGUUUCAAUUUCUCUGCGAACCAAAGCUGCGUUUUAUCUCUCUGACUUAUUUAUAUUUUUGUUGUUCAGCAUUAUAAAAUUAACCUCUACACAGAAAUACCACAUUUCCAGUUAAAAGCCAUGCUUUCUCGAUGCGAUUUUGUGAAGGCCUAUGUCGACGGGUUCCUCGCGCCAUUUUCUUGCACAUGUGAGAAUGAGAAAUUUCGUGCAGAGGCUACUUUUGCAAAGUCGAAAAA